Molecule: long non-coding RNA, 2120 nt
Filed under: Polistes fuscatus (common paper wasp)
Lineage: Eukaryota; Metazoa; Arthropoda; Insecta; Hymenoptera; Vespidae
Description: uncharacterized LOC122517597
Source: RNAcentral
CGACAAAAUAUAUUAAUCGUGGGAAAAGCUUUAUUUAAUAUUACGCACGCAUUCUCUUUUCAUUUCAAUAAUCGUACACCGACCGUGAGAAUCGUCGGAAAUUGAAAUUAUUCGACCUUAAUUUUACUUAUUCUAUCCUAACAUAAGUGAGCUUUUGUUCUUUCUCUCUCUCUCUCUCUCUCUCUUUGUAUGUUUUAUUUUUAUAGAAAAUGCAUUUCAUUUUUGAAUCACAUGUAAAUAUAAUAUAUAUGCAUCUUACACGGCAAAUGUUUAUAGUCAAUCAGAAAAGGGUAUCGCGUAGGUCAGAACGUCUACGAAGAAGAAAAGCAGCUUUCCAAGUGUCAGAUAAUAGUUAUUAUUAAUAAUCACUUUGUACUUUUACUUGUAAAAAGGAGAAAGAGAAAGAGAAAGAAAGAAAGAAAGUACUCUAUCGACAGUCGUUUGAACAAACUUGAUGUGAUUCAUACAAAAGCACAUAUGUACAAUAUAAUUAGUAUAUAGAUAUGUUGCAAAUACUAUAUGAACGAAUAAAACCACUGACCCGAAGUCAAAGUACGGGACUCGUAUAGAACUACUUGAAAUGAUAUAAUGAUGUAGUUGUACAUGCGUUGAUUUUUAAAGAGAUUAUUUCAAGAUCGUUUGUUCAUAGAGAUAAAACGCAUAAAUAUAGUAUUUAAAAGAUAUACUACGUAAUAAAAAUAUUUACGAAGAUUCCGUAUUAUCCUUAUCGUAGAAUUAAAAAAAAGGAAAUCGCGUUGAUUUUGUCUUGUUGUUAGAAACUUAGCGAUCUUUUCUUGCCUCGAACGAAAAAUAAAUAUAUAUGAAAAAGAAUAAGAUAAUUAAAAAAAAAAAAGAAAUAAAAAGUCAAGAGAUGGUAUUUUUGACGAUAAUGGGGUACGUAUAUUUUAUGAAAACUGUUAUGUGUGUGUGUGUAUAGUGAUCGUGGUAAGAGGACUAUCGCGUACCGGCUGGCUCGACGCAACAGCUACUAAUUUCUCACUUCCUCAUUAAAUCCUCGACACAUAUUAUUCCCCUGUCGUGAAGCCUCUUCUCUCGACUCCCGACAGAUCGUAAAUCAUACAACCCGCGGACGGGAGCUCGACUAUCCGCUCGAUUCUAGUUUCUCUUUUAACCUUGUUUACUUGCGUGAGUGCACGCGCUUGCUGGUACAGGGAGAUGAGCACGAUCAGAACACCGAAGGAUCUCAAUGAUGGGAUAUCUUCCUACAUCGAACCCCAGACUCCAUUGCUCUAUGGGCUCUAAUUUGCUAUAAAUACAAUAUUUUCUUUUUAUUAAUUGAAACAAAAAUAUGUAUCGAAUGUGAUUUAUAUAUUUUGUCUUUUUUAUUUUGGUAUAUUACCGAUUUGAUAACUAUGAUUCAGAACGAUUAAUCUAUGAUUCUAUUAAACCAUACACGUUAGUGGUUUUUGAUAACUAACCACUAAAUGAAAAGGAGUAUUUCUUUUUCAUAAGAUUGUAUCUAUGUAUAAGAUGAAGAAUUUUUCCAUUGUACCGACUACUAUUCUUGGUCUCUCGCGCAUAACUUUGGUACUUUGGCCUGAAUGACCCUAAAGUAAUCUAUUAUCUACCCUAAAGGAACGUAUAUGGUUCUUUUGAAAAUGAUGCAUAUCUAUUUAACUGAAAAGAAGUUCCCCGUAAGACUGGCACAAACGGAAUGCUUCUUCUUCUUCUUCUUUUUUUCUUAUCUGUCCGUGUCGUAUACGUCCAUGUUCUGUCAAUGAAACAAACUAAAGAGAAGAGAAAAGGGCCGGUAAAGGAACUGCUGGAUAAAAUAUGACUUUAUAAUAUGUGUAUAUACAUUUUAUUUUCAUUAAUGUUAAUCGAUUGAAGAUGUACACAUAUGUAUACUUGACCGGUCCUACUCAAUUUCAACAUUUGACGUAUCCAUUGCACGUACCAACAAAAAUGAAUGACACGAUUCCUUUAGUUCGUUAAUUAGUAUUAAAUGAAUAGUUCUCUCCGAGUGAUUCUAUAAAUGCGUAUUAACUUAGUACUUCUUCUCAAGUUCAAUUAUUAUUAUUAGUUCUUUCGUAUCUAUCUAUCUAUCAUAUUUAAUUGUCAAACAACGUCAAUUAAAAUGUUUAUCGUGCGUUAUUUUA